GAGGCUUUGCGGUGGCUGCUUGGCUUGGCGGUGGUCGCUUGGCUUGGCGUGGCAGUGAUCGCUUGGCUUGGCAUUUCUGGCUUGGCGGUCCUCCUUUCGCAGAUUGGAAACCGCGGGCUAUCCUGCUGGGAGGUUGUGGCCGAGGCAGUAGCUCGCUACUGAUGGCCUCCUGGGGUGGAGAAAAGCGGGGAGGGGCUGAGGGGUCUCCGAAGCUGGCAGUCUACGCCACGAGGAAGACCCGUAGCGUCAGGAGCCAGGAGGACCAGUGGUACUUGGGCUACCCGGGGGACCAGUGGUCUUCGGGCUUCUCCUACAGCUGGUGGAAAAAUAGCGUCGGCAGCGAGAGCAAGCACGGUGAGGGCGCCUUAGACCAGCCCCAGCACGACGUCCGCCUGGAAGAUCUUGGCGAGCUCCACAGAGCUGCCCGGUCGGGCGACGUCCCUGGGGUGGAGCACGUCUUGGCUCCUGGAGACACUGGCGUGGACAAGAGGGAUAGGAAGAAGAGCAUUCAGCAACUAGUUCCUGAAUAUAAGGAAAAACAGACACCUGAAAGUCUUCCUCAAAAUAACAAUCCAGAUUGGCAUCCUACUAAUUUGACCCUUAGUGAUGAGACUUGUCAGAGAUCCAAGAAUCUGAAAGUUGGUGAUAAAAGUCCAUCUGUAUCACCAUCAAUGCCUGAAAAUCAGUCAGCAACCAAAGAACUGGGACAGAUGAACUUAACAGAACGAGAAAAAAUGGACACUGGAGUUGUACUUCUCUCAGGGAAUGAUACUCUCCAUGACCUGUGCCAAUCACAGCUACCAGAAAACAAAGAGAGCAAAGAAGCAGAACAAGACUUGGAGCUGACAUCAGAGGAAGAGCAAGAAAGACUUAAAGGAUGCGAAAAUAAGCAGCCACAGGACAAAGCUAUUUUUAAAACAUGUAGCCCAACAGAGAAGACACGCAAGAAACAAAACAAGCAAAUUAAUCUUCCACUUUUGCACCUGCAGAAAACGUCUCAAGAACCAGAAAUGGCUAAGGAUUGUGAUAGAGAGGAUAUACCUAUAUAUCCAGUACUUCCUCAUGUGCAAAAAUCUGAGGAAAUGUGGAUUGAACAAGGCAAAUUAGAGUGGAAAAACCAAUUAAAACUCGUCAUAAAUGAGUUAAAGCAGAGGUUUGGUGAAAUUUAUGAAAAAUACAAAAUUCCGGCUUGUCCUGAGGAAGAGCCACUACUUGAUAACUCUACAAGAGGAACAGAUGUGAAGGAUAUUCCCUUUAAUUUGACAAAUAACAUACCUGGUUGUGAGGAAGAAGAUGCAUCUGAAAUAUCUGUCUCAGUGGUAUUCGAGACAUUUCCUGAACAAAAAGAACCCAGUCUCAAAAAUAUCAUCCAUCCAUACUAUCAUCCGUACUCUGGGUCCCAGGAACAUGUUUGCCAGUCAUCUUCUAAGCUUCAUUUACAUGAAAAUAAAUUAGACUGCGACAAUGAUAACAAACUAGGCAUUGGACAUAUUUUUAGUACAGAUAACAACUUUCAUAAUGAUGCAAGCACUAAGAAAGCAAGGAACCCAGAAGUGGUUACGGUUGAAAUGAAAGAAGACCAAGAGUUUGAUUUGCAAAUGACAAAAAAUAUGAACCAAAAUAGUGACAGUGGCAGUACAAAUAACUAUAAAAGCCUGAAACCUAAAUUAGAAAAUCUGAGUUCUUUACCACCAGAUUCUGACAGAACAUCAGAAGUAUAUCUACAUGAAGAAUUACAGCAAGACAUGCAAAAGUUUAAGAAUGAGGUCAACACAUUAGAAGAAGAGUUCCUGGCUUUGAAGAAAGAAAAUGUUCAACUUCAUAAAGAGGUUGAAGAAGAAAUGGAGAAGCACAGAAGUAAUAGCACAGAAUUAUCAGGAACCCUAACUGAUGGUACUACUGUUGGCAAUGAUGAUGAUGGACUAAAUCAGCAGAUUCCUAGGAAGGAAAAUGAAGAGCAUGACAGGCCUGCAGAUAAAACAGCUAAUGAAAAGAACAAGGUCAAAAACCAAAUAUAUCCUGAGGCUGACUUUGCUGACUCAAUGGAGCCAUCUGAAAUAGCCUCAGAGGAUUGUGAAUUGUCUCACUCUGUUUAUGAGAAUUUUAUGUUGCUGAUUGAACAACUUAGAAUGGAGUAUAAAGAUUCUGCUAGCCUACCAAGAAUCCAAGACACAUUUUGUUUGUGUGAACACUUACUGAAACUUAAGAAUAAUCACUGUGACCAACUUACAGUAAAACUUAAACAAAUGGAAAAUAUGGUCAGUGUACUACAAAAUGAGCUAUCUGAAACAAAAAAGACAAAAUUACAGUUAGAACUUCAAAAAAUUGAAUGGGAGAAAGAGCUGUACGAUUUGAGACUUGCCUUAAAACAAGAAAAUGGGAGAAAAGAAAUGCCGAUAUGUUGUAUAAUAAAGAUAGUGAACAGUUAAGAAUAAAAGAAGAGGAGUGUGGGAAAGUGGUUGAAACAAAGCAACAACUUAAAUGGAAUCUGAGAAGACUUGUUAAGGAAUUGAGGACAGUAAGAAAUAACUUGGAUCUGGUUGUGCAGGAGAGAAACGAUGCCCAGAAGCAACUUUCUGAAGAACAGGAUGCCAGAAUAUUACAAGAUCAGAUUCUGACAAGUAAACAAAAGGAACUAGAAAUGGCUCAAAAGAAAAUGAAUUCUGAGAUUUCUCAUAGGCAUCAGAAAGAAAAGCAUCUCUUUCAUGAAAAUUGCAUGUUGCAGGAAGAAAUUGCCUUGCUGAGACUGGAAAUAGAUACAAUAAAAAAUCAGAACAAGCAAAA
This is a long non-coding RNA of Homo sapiens (human), 2784 nucleotides long. Ensembl annotates it as coiled-coil domain containing 144B, pseudogene. Its record names the gene CCDC144BP. The record is from Ensembl. NCBI's taxonomy places the organism in Eukaryota, Metazoa, Chordata, Mammalia, Primates, Hominidae.